Molecule: ribosomal RNA, 431 nt
Filed under: uncultured bacterium
Lineage: Bacteria
Description: partial 16S ribosomal RNA
Rfam family: Bacterial small subunit ribosomal RNA
Source: RNAcentral
CCUACGGGGGGCAGCAGUGGGGAAUAUUGGACAAUGGGCGAAAGCCUGAUCCAGCAAUGCCGCGUGAAUGAUGAAGGCCUUCGGGUUGUAAAGUUCUUUCGACGGGGAUGCGGUACCCGUAGAAGAAGCCCCGGCUAACUUCGUGCCAGCAGCCGCGGUAAUACGAAGGGGGCUAGCGUUGUUCGGAAUUACUGGGCGUAAAGCGCACGCAGGCGGCUCGAUAAGUUAGAAGUGAAAGCCCUGGGCUCAACCCGGGAAUUGCUUUUGAUACUGUCGAGCUUGAAUUCGGGAGAGGGUAGUGGAAUUCCCAGUGUAGAGGUGAAAUUCGUAGAUAUUGGGAAGAACACCAGUGGCGAAGGCGACUACCUGGCCGAAUUGACGCUCAUGUGCGAAAGCGUGGGGAGCAAACAGGAUUAGAUACCCUUGUAGUC